CGGCAAGCCUGAUGCAGCGACGCCGCGUGAGGGAUGACGGCCUUCGGGUUGUAAACCUCUUUCAGCAGGGAAGAAGCGCAAGUGACGGUACCUGCAGAAGAAGCACCGGCUAACUACGUGCCAGCAGCCGCGGUAAUACGUAGGGUGCGAGCGUUGUCCGGAAUUAUUGGGCGUAAAGAGCUUGUAGGCGGUUUGUCGCGUCUGCCGUGAAAAUCCGGGGCUCAACCCCGGACUUGCGGUGGGUACGGGCAGACUAGAGUGUGGUAGGGGAGACUGGAAUUCCUGGUGUAGCGGUGAAAUGCGCAGAUAUCAGGAGGAACACCGAUGGCGAAGGCAGGUCUCUGGGCCACUACUGACGCUGAGGAGCGAAAGUGUGGGGAGCGAACAGGAUUAGAUACCCUGGUAGUCCACACCGUAAACGUUGGGCGCUAGGUGUGGGAUCCAUUCCACGGGUUCCGUGCCGCAGCUAACGCAUUAAGCGCCCCGCCUGGGGAGUACGGCCGCAAGGCUA
This 511-nucleotide ribosomal RNA is filed under the name uncultured Actinomycetes bacterium. Its description in RNAcentral is "bacterial SSU rRNA". It matches the Rfam family "Bacterial small subunit ribosomal RNA", at positions 376 to 896 of the family's 1533-position model. Lineage: Bacteria; Bacillati; Actinomycetota; Actinomycetes. The record is from RNAcentral.